Molecule: ribosomal RNA, 460 nt
Filed under: bacterium
Lineage: Bacteria
Description: bacterial SSU rRNA
Rfam family: Bacterial small subunit ribosomal RNA
Source: RNAcentral
UCGCACAGGCCAAUACCCUGUGUGGAUGACGGUACCAGCAUAAGAAGCACCGGCUAACUACGUGCCAGCAGCCGCGGUAAUACGUAGGGUGCGAGCGUUAAUCGGAAUUACUGGGCGUAAAGCGUGCGCAGGCGGUUAGGUAAGUUUGAUGUGAAAUCCCCGGGCUCAACCUGGGAACUGCAUUGAAGACUGCCUAACUAGAGUACGGCAGAGGGGGGUGGAAUUCCACGUGUAGCAGUGAAAUGCGUAGAGAUGUGGAGGAACACCGAUGGCGAAGGCAGCCCCCUGGGUCGAUACUGACGCUCAUGCACGAAAGCGUGGGGAGCAAACAGGAUUAGAUACCCUGGUAGUCCACGCCCUAAACGAUGUCAACUAGUUGUUGGUAGGGUUAAACCUAUUAGUAACGUAGCUAACGCGUGAAGUUGACCGCCUGGGGAGUACGGUCGCAAGAUUAAAACUC